Molecule: ribosomal RNA, 624 nt
Filed under: fungal sp. APA-2013
Lineage: Eukaryota; Fungi
Description: eukaryotic LSU rRNA
Rfam family: 5.8S ribosomal RNA (bases 245-397)
Source: RNAcentral
UCUUGGUCAUUUAGAGGAAGUAAAAGUCGUAACAAGGUUUCCGUAGGUGAACCUGCGGAAGGAUCAUUACCGAGUGAGGGCCCUCUGGGUCCAACCUCCCACCCGUGUUUAUUUACCUUGUUGCUUCGGCGGGCCCGCCUUAACUGGCCGCCGGGGGGCUUACGUCCCCGGGCCCGCGCCCGCCGAAGACACCCUCGAACUCUGUCUGAAGAUUGUAGUCUGAGUGAAAAUAUAAAUUAUUUAAAACUUUCAACAACGGAUCUCUUGGUUCCGGCAUCGAUGAAGAACGCAGCGAAAUGCGAUACGUAAUGUGAAUUGCAAAUUCAGUGAAUCAUCGAGUCUUUGAACGCACAUUGCGCCCCCUGGUAUUCCGGGGGGCAUGCCUGUCCGAGCGUCAUUUCUGCCCUCAAGCACGGCUUGUGUGUUGGGCCCCGUCCUCCGAUUCCGGGGGACGGGCCCGAAAGGCAGCGGCGGCACCGAGUCCGGUCCUCGAGCGUAUGGGGCUUUGUCACCCGCUCUGUAGGCCCGGCCGGCGCUUGCCGAUCAACCCAAAUUUUUAUCCAGGUUGACCUCGGAUCAGGUAGGGAUACCCGCUGAACUUAAGCAUAUCAAUAAGCGGAGGAA